AUACGGAGGGUGCAAGCGUUAAUCGGAAUUACUGGGCGUAAAGCGUACGUAGGCGGUUAUUUAAGUCAGAUGUGAAAGCCCCGGGCUUAACUUGGGAACUGCAUUUGAAACGGGGUAACUAGAGUUUAGUAGAGGGGAGUGGAAUUUCAGGUGUAGCGGUGAAAUGCGUAGAGAUCUGAAGGAACACCAGUGGCGAAGGCGACUCCCUGGACUCGAACUGACGCUGAGGUACGAAAGCGUGGGUAGCAAACGGGAUUAGAAACCCCAGUAGUCC
This 274-nucleotide ribosomal RNA is filed under the name uncultured bacterium. RNAcentral describes it as "partial 16S ribosomal RNA". It matches the Rfam family "Bacterial small subunit ribosomal RNA", at positions 523 to 796 of the family's 1533-position model. The record is from RNAcentral.